Molecule: transfer RNA, 74 nt
Filed under: Candidatus Moraniibacteriota bacterium
Lineage: Bacteria; Candidatus Moraniibacteriota
Also listed under: 2 other names
Description: tRNA-Met
Rfam family: tRNA
About the family: Transfer RNA (tRNA) molecules are approximately 80 nucleotides in length. Their secondary structure includes four short double-helical elements and three loops (D, anti-codon, and T loops).
Source: RNAcentral
GUCAGGGUAGCUCAGUUGGUUAGAGCGCGGGACUCAUAAGCCCGAGGUCGAGAGUUCAAAUCUCUCCCCUGAUA